UACGUAGGUGGCAAGCGUUGUCCGGAAUUAUUGGGCGUAAAGCGCGCGCAGGCGGUCUUUUAAGUCUGAUGUGAAAGCCCACGGCUCAACCGUGGAGGGUCAUUGGAAACUGGAGGACUUGAGUGCAGAAGAGGAAAGUGGAAUUCCACGUGUAGCGGUGAAAUGCGUAGAGAUGUGGAGGAACACCAGUGGCGAAGGCGACUUUCUGGUCUGUAACUGACGCUGAGGCGCGAAAACGUGGGGAGCAAACAGG
RNAcentral lists this ribosomal RNA (253 nucleotides) under uncultured bacterium. RNAcentral's name for it is "partial 16S ribosomal RNA". It matches the Rfam family "Bacterial small subunit ribosomal RNA", at positions 524 to 776 of the family's 1533-position model. The record is from RNAcentral.